UUAUAAAAAAAAGCCUUCCUGUGUUUUUAGAAGAUGUACAAAGUAUACUUUAACUAUGAAUGAAAAAAACGUAUCAUUUCAUACGUUAGUAAUAAGUUUACACUAUUUAACUAUUUUUUUAACUAAUAAAUGCAUUUUAUUCGACUGUCAUGGCGACGGGGCGGUCGACGCUCGGUCCCAUUCGGGCUCACUCGGGCCGUAUCAAUGCGAGCUGCUAGGGCUGUGACUAUAGUAAAUACUGCGCUGUUUUUAUGUGCAAUGUUGUUAGGCUAUGACGCGUCUGGUUGUAAAACAUCAUUGGUUUAACGGAUACUUUUUGACUACACUAAAAAUUACACGUUUAAAUAAACUUUCAUUUUUUUUAACAACCUGUUAACCAAUUCAUACUGUGAUAUUAAUUUUGCCCCGUAUAUAUUCAAAAUUGUAUUGUUUUAGUGAAAUAUUUGAAGUCGUUGCGCGGCACCAAAUUACUAUGCGUGGACGGAUUUACCUUCUGCAUGCAUCGAACCCAUGGACUUAAGGUCUCGUGGAGCUGCUCUACACAUAAUAAUAAAGGAUGCCGAGCCAGAGCGCACACCGUGGAAAAUUAAGAUACCUGAUGUCCACCCGUGGAACAAAGUUGCUGUGUGUCGACGGCUACAAGUUCUGCGUGAAGAGAAAGGCAGGGCCCAAAGUUUAUUGGUUCUGCUCAACCCACAACCCGAAAGGCUGCCGAGCAAGAGCAUUGUCUGUUGACGACGAAAUUCUCAGAUUGAAUAACGAGCAUAACCAUCCACCGACAUUGUAAUUCGUCUUUACGAUACGGUUGAUUUUAAAUGAUCCCAUUCUUAAUCGAUUCCCGGGAAUGAACUAAUCAAUAUAUAUGUAUAUGUGCCUAUCCGGUUCCAACAGACCGGCAUAAUUGUAUCGACUGUCGAGGGGUAAUCAUGUCUCGUCAGGCGAUAUUCUAUUGGAGCCCACUCGACUGGUGCAGUGAGAUCAAUUUGCUGUGUCUGUAUAUCAAAGUCCGGAUGUAAAAAAUAUGUCAUUUUAAAGCAUGUCAAAAAAGACUUCACGGCCCAUAUUGUGUAUGAUAGUGUAAACGCGUAACGCGGCCGUGUCAUGUUAUCUUCGAGAAAUGUGCGUGGAAUGGUAUUCUGUAAGACAAAUUUCUAUAGUCCUAAACAUGAUGCGUUGUGUUACGCGCUUGUUACGCACUGUUAAAAUAACGUGCGGAAUAGAGAAUAAGGCCCCUGAUUGGUUCAUUUUUGUGAUCUAAAAAUCUUUUGGGAUCGUUUACUGCAAUGGACAGAUAGCUGUUUGCCGGAUAGAGCAUCGUAUAAGCAUUUUUUAUUAUUCAAAUUAUAGUAUCAUAGUAAUGCGUGUAAAUAUUCGAUAGCGUUUAAUCAGCGCCUUAGAGGAAUUUUUUUAUAAAUCCUUUUCAGUGCUCAUUUACAUGAUGUGUAAUUUUCAAAUUUCUAGAGUAGGUCUAAACUGUGUGUUAUCAAUUAUAUAAUAAUAUUAAUUCAAGUAGAAUAUAAUUAGUUCGUACUACGACAAGAUUAAUGUCAACAGCCUUUGUCGGAUUAAAGUGAAUAUAGCGUUAACGGCUGAUUUUUCAAUCGUCAAAACAAAGUUACCCGUCAAAUAAAUCCUAAUCCGAGUGAAUAUAAAACUGUCAAUUUUAAUUUGUUUAUGUUGUAUUUUACAUGACGGAUAAUUGUUAGCUAAAUGAAAAAUCACACUUUAAUCAAUGUUAAAAUAUCAAAUAAACACCAUUCUCAACUUAUUAUGAUGGAUAUUGGCAUCGACUACGUUUGUACUCAAAUAUUGCGACAAUUAAUGACAUUUGAUUUUGCCGUGGCCCUACCAUGAUUAUUCCAUGUAAUGCAUUUUUAUAGCCUAUAUUUUAUAUUUAGCAUAAUAUAUUUUUAACUAGUAGCUUUCGAGUUCCGAAUAAUUAAAUUAGUGUAAUAAAAUAGUGUAGUAUAGUGAUUGAUUAUAAUUAUAAGAAUUCCAAAUGAAUAUAUCCUAAAUGUCUUCUAUAGUAUGAAGUCCGUCAGGCCUGUUCCAUUGCUGAUUUAAACCUUCACCCCUAGAUUGGUUUACUGCAUUAUAUCAGAUCAGUAUUUAGUUUAUAAUGACAGCCUGUCAUUCAGAUCGUUCUGAUAUGCUAUAAAUUAAAAUAAAAUUUUCGAGUAGU
This is a long non-coding RNA of Manduca sexta (tobacco hornworm), 2182 nucleotides long. RefSeq lists it as uncharacterized. The transcript is spliced from 2 exons. The record is from RefSeq and is a predicted model, not a curated record. Lineage: Eukaryota; Metazoa; Arthropoda; Insecta; Lepidoptera; Sphingidae.